UGGUGGAGUGAUUUGUCUGGUUGAUUCCGUUAACGAACGAGACCUCCGCUUACUAAAUAGAGUUUGGUUUCUCACGAAACUAUAAAUCUUCUUAGAAGGACAUUUCGGUUUUACCGGAAGGAAGUUGGAGGCAAUAACA
This 139-nucleotide ribosomal RNA is filed under the name uncultured eukaryote. RNAcentral describes it as "partial 18S ribosomal RNA". It matches the Rfam family "Eukaryotic small subunit ribosomal RNA", at positions 1299 to 1458 of the family's 1831-position model. The record is from RNAcentral.